UAAAGCUCCACUUCAUUUUGCUCCAUUUAUGCUUAUUUAUAAAUCAAAAGAUAUCAAUAAAAUUAUAUUAAAGUUUUUGGUUUUUGUGGUUUCUAUUGGGUGUUGAUUUAUUGAUAUAGUUGUGGCGACGGAUAAUAAUAACAUUGUAAAAUGCUAUAAAGGAAUUGACACGGAUGUGAUAUUGACAACAGAAUCAUGUUAAAUUGGUAAAAUAAGUCCUUCAAUCUAUUAUGAAUCAUUGAAACUUGUGUUGGUUGGAUAUAUUGCUGAUUUUUUGCUUUUGUAAAUUUUCUAGGCACAAAGCAUUGUAAUGAAGUACAUCAAAAGCUUCAGAACAAGUACAAUAUUGUAUUCAAAUGGAUGAACCUCUUAUUAAACCUAAAAUAAUGGAUGGCAUGGUAAAGGCUCUUCAGAUAGCAAUCAAUACUAUCUCCAAAAUGCGAUGCCCAGUUCCUGCAAUGAGCAAUGGCGCACUGCCAGUUUCUACUUGGUAUGUCAUUUAGGCCCACUCCAAACCAGUCUACAACUCGUGCUACUCAUGCCUCAAGGCUAUAUUAUAGCAUGUAGAUACCACUUAGGAGUUCAAAGUGGUCAACUGCACAUUGAUUUAUUUUUGUUGAAUUCCAAAUGUUAGUGUUUUGUAUGUACCUGAGUGUUAAGAAAGUCUCAUUCGUGGAUACGAACCAAUAAUAAAGUCCCCAAUGUGAACCAAUCCUUGGUCAUAUAAUUAUUGUCAGAUCAUCCUCAGGGUGCCAUGAGUAUCAAGACUUGGAGUUGUUCGUCUAUCACUGUUUGAGCUAUUUUUAUGGA
Molecule: long non-coding RNA, 810 nt
Organism: Olea europaea var. sylvestris
Lineage: Eukaryota; Viridiplantae; Streptophyta; Magnoliopsida; Lamiales; Oleaceae
Exons: 2
Source: RefSeq, a predicted model, not a curated record